CGGUCGUCAUGUAUUUGGUAAAGCUGCUGAUCAGCGAUGCUCUAAUAGCAAUGAUGCACACAAUGAUGCUUGCCGAGGGCGUUUGUUCUGUCUACCAGACCCAUAUGGAUGCUCCUGUGCUGCAGGUUACCAGGGAUUAGACUGUAUGCAAGAAUGUGAAGACGGUACGUUUGGUGCCAAUUGCAAGCAGACUUGUCACUGUGCAUCAGGAGGAACGUGCAGUAAAGAUACAGGAAAAUGUAGCAAUGGUUGUGCGGCAACAUAUUCUGGAAGUAACUGUCAGUGCUCAAGUAAGAUAGAAUUGGAAAAUAAUCAGUCAGUGUUAUCAUACGAUUGACAAACAGACAUCAGAACACUUUGGCCAAAAGUUAUAGUUUAUACAAAAAUCAGUUGAAACAAGGGGGUAUUUUUCACCCCAGCAGAUUGUACUUUUCAUUCAGAUUUUGUUAUUAGCGUCUUGUGAACGAUGUAGUUAAUUUAGGCUAUUCUAGGUGUUGUAUUUAACUUUAGAAGUCCAACCGGCAUGUUUGAAAUCACAUGCGUUCGGUGGCAUAGCAUAAGGGGAUUUUAUAAAGACACAAAGCUUUGUUGUCUGGAUUGAUACAUUUUCCAUUGCGACUCCAUAAUG
Acanthaster planci (crown-of-thorns starfish) is the source of this 628-nucleotide long non-coding RNA. Lineage: Eukaryota; Metazoa; Echinodermata; Asteroidea; Valvatida; Acanthasteridae. The record is from RefSeq and is a predicted model, not a curated record.